Molecule: ribosomal RNA, 645 nt
Filed under: uncultured fungus
Lineage: Eukaryota; Fungi
Description: eukaryotic LSU rRNA
Rfam family: 5.8S ribosomal RNA (bases 204-357)
Source: RNAcentral
UCCGUAGGUGAACCUGCGGAAGGAUCAUUACUGAAUAUGGAAUAUCUUAUUCUUAAACCCACACUGAGUACUUGUACUUGUUGCUUCCGUGGGCAGCGAAUGUUGUGUUUGCGCCUGCUGAUGAAGUGGACCCACGGGAGACACCAAUAAACUCUGCCUUUUUGUGAUAUAUAGUCUGACUCUGUUUAUUCUUUAAACGUUAAAACUUUCAACAACGGAUCUCUUGGUUCUCGCAUCGAUGAAGAACGCAGCGAAAUGCGAUAAGUAGUGUGAAUUGCAGAAUUCAGUGAAUCAUCGAAUCUUUGAACGCACAUUGCGCCUCCUGGCAUUCCGGGAGGCAUGCCUGUUCGAGCGUCAUCAAAUCCUCUCAAGCUCAUGUUUAUUCAUGACUUGGUAUUGGAGCUGGAGUGGACAUAGGCCAUUCCUAUCCGAAUUCCAAUGGCAAAGUUGUCUGCAUCGAUAAGCGUAGUGAUCAACAUUAUGUUUCGCUGUGAGGUAGAUAAUCUUCCGCCGUUAACCACCCCCAAUUUUAAGUGUUUGACCUCGGGGAUCAGGGGUAGGGGGGAUACCGGCUGGAACUUAAGGCAUAUCAAUAAGGCGGGAGGGAAGGUCGGACUGGCCAAGGGGCACACAGGGGGGGGGAUA